Molecule: long non-coding RNA, 1723 nt
Organism: Magallana angulata
Lineage: Eukaryota; Metazoa; Mollusca; Bivalvia; Ostreida; Ostreidae
Exons: 5
Source: RefSeq, a predicted model, not a curated record
UUUUGAUUAUGAUGCUAUCAGAUGAUGAAGUAUACCAGUGGUUCAGAAUGCAUGGUCCCCUGGCGACGACAAAUUCAUGCAACACAGAGGGGUGUCAAGGGAGAAUGGUUCUGAAAUCAUCAUCAAGAGGCGCAGGUGGAUGUACGGUGAAUCGCCUACACACCAGGGCUUGUAGAGACAACUCCAUCUUCGAAAAAAAGCAACUUGACAUUUCAAGACAUCACCCUGUUCAUAAAGAAUUACUUGGAUGGUUCUUCUCUCAGUCAAUGUGCCAGAUUUUCAGGGGUUGCCUACAAAUCUAUAGAUGUUAACAGGGGAUCAUUAUCAGGGAACUCCAAGAAAAUAUUUGAACUACACAUUAAGACCAUGAGGCUUACUGGGACAGUAGAGAUCAACGAGUCCCUAUUUUGGAGACGCGUAAAACACCAAGAAGUGACCCUAAUCGAGGUUAAAAGGUAACUUAAAACAAAUGUUAUUGUUUUAAACUCUAUGUUAAUAUAAAAAAAACUUGUCUUAGUACACAUACUUAAAUGCAACUUGGAACAAAAAAAUGUGUUAAAAGAAUUGGUAUUUAAAGUACGAAACUAUGUACAUGACAGUAUAAUAACAAUAAAUGACAGUAAAUAUGCAUAGAUUUAAGAAUUAAUACAGUAAAAUUCUUUUCACACAUAUAUGGAUAUUUGGAAUGGUGGAGAGAGAGCAACACGCUUAUAUUGUAUCCAGUUGGAGAUCGCACAGAGGAUACACUCCUUCGAAUAAUACGAAGACAUGUGGAAGUUGGAAGCACCAUAUACAGCGAUGGAUGGUUAUCUUAAUUUUCUAGACAUAGGGUAUGAACAUUUCACAGUUACACCCAAGUACACUUUCAAGAAAACAUACAUUAACAUGAAGACACGUCAGAAGGAAGAAGUACAUAUACACGUAAAUAUCGAGGGAGCAUGGAAACAUGCGAAGGGCCAUUUCAAGAGGAUGUCUAAAACAAAGAUCAACCAUUUUGAGGGACACCUUGCAGAGAUAAUGUGGAGGUCAGCAGUGAAGUGGGACGUCUAUACAUCAUUCUUCGACCUUGUUAAGUCUGUUUACCCCUAGACAAGCCUUCGACAUACAAGUACAUGACCCCACACUUCGGCCUGCCUUCCAGACUCCCAGUUAUCUGACUGGGAUAUUACACCAGGAAACACUGUUGGGAAAUCCUAAUCAGAUGUAGACCGCCUGAGCGAUGGAAGCCGUUUCAAUUGUCUGAGCGAUGGAGGCACUUCUAUUGGUUGCAAAAUCAUUUUAGACAGUGAGGACUUUGAAUUUCCCAGAAACCAAAUAGCCAGUGACAACUUUUUGCGCAUUGGCAAGGAACAGCACCUGCAGGCACGCAGUCUUGAUAGUGUUUACAGACUGUUAAUGGAGUGGGAUCCAGACAAACUCUUCACUUACAGGAGUUUUUAGCAAUCACCAUAGGUACAUGCAUUUCAAGUGAUCAUUGUGAAGUCAAAUGACAAAUGGACAGGAAGGAUAAACCACAGCUUCAGGUCAGGCCCUUCCCAUCCAAAAUUCGUUCUUCUUUCAAGGAAAAAAGGUUCCUCUAGCCAACACGAUCCUCUUACAGAGAAGAAAAGGAAACCUUUCACAUCAUCUGAUAAAGGUUCUAUCCAAAGGAGGAGGAUCUCCGGAAUGACGGUGUGUGUUAUCCUCCGUUAUACGUAGAGAAGAACGUCGUUCCUGCCUCCAG